GUCGUGGUGAGGUCUUCAAGAUCGUGAAGAGCGUGGCCAUCUUUGAACAUGUUCAAAACAAUCGUGGUGCGGUCGUGGCGAAAUCAGGUCGUAGACGAAGCGUAGUGAGAGCGCACUAAGGUCGUAGUAAGAUCGCAAAGGUCGCUGUACAACCGUAGCGAGAGCGUAGCGAAAGCGUGAUUAUAUUCGGAGAGACUGCGCUACGAUCGCACAGCGACGUUAUCACGACCUCACUACGACCAUCACGUUCUCACUGCGACCCAACUACGCUUCCACUACGACUAUACCAUGCUGUUCACGACCAUAGUACGAUUCUAGCACGCCCUUGUCGUCCUCGUCACGCUCUUCUUACGACCUGACUACGUUCACACUACGACCAUCAUUCUCAUUGCCAUUUUCACAUAAAAUAUAUAAAAAAGCUCCCUAGAUUUUGUUUGUUUGAAUGUAAUUAUCCAUUUGCUCUAACGGCUCAACCAUGCUUCUCGUUUUUAUAUAGAUUAGACCGUUGGUUUUCGCGUUUAAAUGGUUUAACACUAGUAAUAUUUUGGGUCCUUUAUAGCGUGCUGAUUGAUGUGAGCCAAGGCUCCGUGUUGAAGGCCGUACCUUGGCCUAUAAUGGUUUACUUUUAUAAAUUGUUACUUGGAUGGAGAGUUGUCUCAUUGGCACUCAUACCACAUCUUCCUAUAUAAAUUGAUACAUCUAUGUCAUCUCUGCUAUCGUUCAC
RNAcentral lists this long non-coding RNA (724 nucleotides) under Mytilus galloprovincialis (Mediterranean mussel). The record is from RNAcentral. Lineage: Eukaryota; Metazoa; Mollusca; Bivalvia; Mytilida; Mytilidae.